GAAAGGAACGCGAAGAACCUUACCUAAGCUUGACAUCCCAUUGACCUCUCCCUAAUCGGAGAUUUCCCUUCGGGGACAGUGGUGACAGGUGCUGCAUGGCUGUCGUCAGCUCGUGUCGUGAGAUGUUGGGUUAAGUCCCGCAACGAGCGCAACCCUUGCCUUUAGUUGCCAGCAUUAAGUUGGGCACUCUAGAGGGACUGCCGAGGAUAACUCGGAGGAAGGUGGGGAUGACGUCAAAUCAUCAUGCCCCUUAUGCUUAGGGCUACACACGUGCUACAAUGGGUGGUACAGAGGGUUGCCAAGCCGCGAGGUGGAGCUAAUCCCUUAAAGCCAUUCUCAGUUCGGAUUGUAGGCUGAAACUCGCCUACAUGAAGCUGGAGUUACUAGUAAUCGCAGAUCAGAAUGCUGCGGUGAAUGCGUUCCCGGGCCUUGUACACACC
RNAcentral lists this ribosomal RNA (440 nucleotides) under Clostridiales bacterium AW4. RNAcentral's name for it is "bacterial SSU rRNA". It matches the Rfam family "Bacterial small subunit ribosomal RNA", at positions 953 to 1391 of the family's 1533-position model. The record is from RNAcentral. Lineage: Bacteria; Bacillati; Bacillota; Clostridia; Eubacteriales.